AGCGGCGGACGGGUGAGUAACGCGUGGGUAAUCUGCCUCACACAGGGGGAUAACACUGGGAAACUAGUGCUAAUACCGCAUAACAUAACGAGGUGGCAUCACUUUGUUAUCAAAGGAGCAAUCCGGUGUGAGAUGAGCCCGCGUCCGAUUAGCUAGUUGGUGAGGUAACGGCUCACCAAGGCGACGAUCGGUAGCCGAACUGAGAGGUUGAUCGGCCACAUUGGGACUGAGACACGGCCCAGACUCCUACGGGAGGCAGCAGUGGGGAAUAUUGCGCAAUGGGGGAAACCCUGACGCAGCAACGCCGCGUGAAGGAAGAAGGUCUUCGGAUUGUAAACUUCUUUGGUUGGGGACGAUAAUGACGGUACCCAAGGAACAAGCCACGGCUAACUACGUGCCAGCAGCCGCGGUAAUACGUAGGUGGCGAGCGUUGUCCGGAAUUACUGGGUGUAAAGGGCGCGUAGGCGGGGAUGCAAGUCAGAUGUGAAAUUCCGGGGCUCAACCCCGGCGCUGCAUCUGAAACUGUAUUUCUUGAGUGCUGGAGAGGAAAGCGGAAUU
This 558-nucleotide ribosomal RNA is filed under the name uncultured Clostridium sp. Its description in RNAcentral is "bacterial SSU rRNA". It matches the Rfam family "Bacterial small subunit ribosomal RNA", at positions 94 to 668 of the family's 1533-position model. Lineage: Bacteria; Bacillati; Bacillota; Clostridia; Eubacteriales; Clostridiaceae. The record is from RNAcentral.